This 2789-nucleotide ribosomal RNA is filed under the name Salmonella enterica subsp. enterica serovar Berta. RNAcentral's name for it is "partial 23S ribosomal RNA". It matches the Rfam family "Bacterial large subunit ribosomal RNA". The record is from RNAcentral. Lineage: Bacteria; Pseudomonadati; Pseudomonadota; Gammaproteobacteria; Enterobacterales; Enterobacteriaceae. RNAcentral also lists the same sequence under 1 other name.
GGGUUGUGAGGUUAAGCGACUAAGCGUACACGGUGGAUGCCCUGGCAGUCAGAGGCGAUGAAGGGCGUGCUAAUCUGCGAUAAGCGCCGGUAAGGUGAUAUGAACCGUUAUAACCGGCGAUACCCGAAUGGGGAAACCCAGUGUGAUUCGUCACACUAUCAUUAACUGAAUCCAUAGGUUAAUGAGGCGAACCGGGGGAACUGAAACAUCUAAGUACCCCGAGGAAAAGAAAUCAACCGAGAUUCCCCCAGUAGCGGCGAGCGAACGGGGAGGAGCCCAGAGCCUGAAUCAGCAUGUGUGUUAGUGGAAGCGUCUGGAAAGGCGCGCGAUACAGGGUGACAGCCCCGUACACAAAAGCGCAUGUGCUGUGAGCUCGAUGAGUAGGGCGGGACACGUGGUAUCCUGUCUGAAUAUGGGGGGACCAUCCUCCAAGGCUAAAUACUCCUGACUGACCGAUAGUGAACCAGUACCGUGAGGGAAAGGCGAAAAGAACCCCGGCGAGGGGAGUGAAAAAGAACCUGAAACCGUGUACGUACAAGCAGUGGGAGCACAGGUUUACCUGUGUGACUGCGUACCUUUUGUAUAAUGGGUCAGCGACUUAUAUUCUGUAGCAAGGUUAACCGAAUAGGGGAGCCGGAGGGAAACCGAGUCUUAACCGGGCGUUAAGUUGCAGGGUAUAGACCCGAAACCCGGUGAUCUAGCCAUGGGCAGGUUGAAGGUUGGGUAACACUAACUGGAGGACCGAACCGACUAAUGUUGAAAAAUUAGCGGAUGACCUGUGGCUGGGGGUGAAAGGCCAAUCAAACCGGGAGAUAGCUGGUUCUCCCCGAAAGCUAUUUAGGUAGCGCCUCGUGAAUUCAUCUCCGGGGGUAGAGCACUGUUUCGGCUAGGGGGCCAUCCCGGCUUACCAACCCGAUGCAAACUGCGAAUACCGGAGAAUGUUAUCACGGGAGACACACGGCGGGUGCUAACGUCCGUCGUGAAGAGGGAAACAACCCAGACCGCCAGCUAAGGUCCCAAAGUCAUGGUUAAGUGGGAAACGAUGUGGGAAGGCCCAGACAGCCAGGAUGUUGGCUUAGAAGCAGCCAUCAUUUAAAGAAAGCGUAAUAGCUCACUGGUCGAGUCGGCCUGCGCGGAAGAUGUAACGGGGCUAAACCAUGCACCGAAGCUGCGGCAGCGACGCUUAUGCGUUGUUGGGUAGGGGAGCGUUCUGUAAGCCUGUGAAGGUGUGUCGUGAGGCAUGCUGGAGGUAUCAGAAGUGCGAAUGCUGACAUAAGUAACGAUAAAGCGGGUGAAAAGCCCGCUCGCCGGAAGACCAAGGGUUCCUGUCCAACGUUAAUCGGGGCAGGGUGAGUCGACCCCUAAGGCGAGGCCGAAAGGCGUAGUCGAUGGGAAACGGGUUAAUAUUCCCGUACUUGGUGUUACUGCGAAGGGGGGACGGAGAAGGCUAUGUUGGCCGGGCGACGGUUGUCCCGGUUUAAGCGUGUAGGUGUGUGUUCCAGGUAAAUCCGGUUCACUUUAACACUGAGGCGUGAUGACGAGGCACUACGGUGCUGAAGUAACAAAUGCCCUGCUUCCAGGAAAAGCCUCUAAGCAUCAGGUAACAUCAAAUCGUACCCCAAACCGACACAGGUGGUCAGGUAGAGAAUACCAAGGCGCUUGAGAGAACUCGGGUGAAGGAACUAGGCAAAAUGGUGCCGUAACUUCGGGAGAAGGCACGCUGACACGUAGGUGAAGUGAUUUACUCACGGAGCUGAAGUCAGUCGAAGAUACCAGCUGGCUGCAACUGUUUAUUAAAAACACAGCACUGUGCAAACACGAAAGUGGACGUAUACGGUGUGACGCCUGCCCGGUGCCGGAAGGUUAAUUGAUGGGGUCAGCGCAAGCGAAGCUCCUGAUCGAAGCCCCGGUAAACGGCGGCCGUAACUAUAACGGUCCUAAGGUAGCGAAAUUCCUUGUCGGGUAAGUUCCGACCUGCACGAAUGGCGUAAUGAUGGCCAGGCUGUCUCCACCCGAGACUCAGUGAAAUUGAACUCGCUGUGAAGAUGCAGUGUACCCGCGGCAAGACGGAAAGACCCCGUGAACCUUUACUAUAGCUUGACACUGAACAUUGAGCCUUGAUGUGUAGGAUAGGUGGGAGGCUUUGAAGUGUGGACGCCAGUCUGCAUGGAGCCGACCUUGAAAUACCACCCUUUAAUGUUUGAUGUUCUAACGUGGACCCGUUACCCGGGUUGCGGACAGUGUCUGGUGGGUAGUUUGACUGGGGCGGUCUCCUCCUAAAGAGUAACGGAGGAGCACGAAGGUUGGCUAAUCCUGGUCGGACAUCAGGAGGUUAGUGCAAUGGCAUAAGCCAGCUUGACUGCGAGCGUGACGGCGCGAGCAGGUGCGAAAGCAGGUCAUAGUGAUCCGGUGGUUCUGAAUGGAAGGGCCAUCGCUCAACGGAUAAAAGGUACUCCGGGGAUAACAGGCUGAUACCGCCCAAGAGUUCAUAUCGACGGCGGUGUUUGGCACCUCGAUGUCGGCUCAUCACAUCCUGGGGCUGAAGUAGGUCCCAAGGGUAUGGCUGUUCGCCAUUUAAAGUGGUACGCGAGCUGGGUUUAGAACGUCGUGAGACAGUUCGGUCCCUAUCUGCCGUGGGCGCUGGAGAACUGAGGGGGGCUGCUCCUAGUACGAGAGGACCGGAGUGGACGCAUCACUGGUGUUCGGGUUGUCAUGCCAAUGGCACUGCCCGGUAGCUAAAUGCGGAAGAGAUAAGUGCUGAAAGCAUCUAAGCACGAAACUUGCCCCGA